RNAcentral lists this small RNA (29 nucleotides) under Bombyx mori (domestic silkworm). RNAcentral describes it as "ovarian small RNA-5192". Lineage: Eukaryota; Metazoa; Arthropoda; Insecta; Lepidoptera; Bombycidae. The record is from RNAcentral.
GAGUUAACAACAUUGACAGCCCACGUAGU